RNAcentral lists this long non-coding RNA (469 nucleotides) under Rhipicephalus microplus (southern cattle tick). RNAcentral's name for it is "uncharacterized LOC119178592, transcript variant X1". Lineage: Eukaryota; Metazoa; Arthropoda; Arachnida; Ixodida; Ixodidae. The record is from RNAcentral.
GCAUCAAGUCACAUUUUACUUCUUGGUUCUUUCAGUGAAAAGUACGGUGUCACUGGCUAAUACCCUGAGCAAAUCUUUCAAUGUCUCCUAUUCAGAAUUAUCCGAUCACUUGGCCCAAUAUCAGGAUGGCUGGGCUUUUUUGAGCAGCACAUCGAGAAUGUACUUGACGAAAAGGAAUAUUAACACUGACCCACAAGGAAGAAAUCUUACAAGUUGUGUUUCUGCUCAAACGAUACAUGUGGAUGAGUGUACACAUGAGAUAGAGCAGAACUAUACCUACUACAACUCGUCUUCUAGCACAUGGCAUGUAAUGGCCUCUUCAAGAGGACAAGAAAUACCCAAGUUUGGCAUCAAUUUUUUAGCAAAGAAAAAAUUUUAUUAUUUGUGCAAUUUUCUAUAUCUGCUCUAAAUCAUGUCACGCUGAAGACAUUUAUUGCCUUACAACAACAAACAGUAAAAUAGGACUAGA